RNAcentral lists this ribosomal RNA (392 nucleotides) under uncultured Gammaproteobacteria bacterium. RNAcentral describes it as "bacterial SSU rRNA". It matches the Rfam family "Bacterial small subunit ribosomal RNA", at positions 370 to 779 of the family's 1533-position model. Lineage: Bacteria; Pseudomonadati; Pseudomonadota; Gammaproteobacteria. The record is from RNAcentral.
AAUGGGCGCAAGCCUGAUCCAGCCAUGCCGCGUGAGUGACGAAGGCCUUAGGGUUGUAAAACUCUUUCAGCAGGGAAGAUAAUGACGGUACCUGCAGAAGAAGCCCCGGCUAACUCCGUGCCAGCAGCCGCGGUAAUACGGAGGGGGCUAGCGUUGUUCGGAAUCACUGGGCGUAAAGCGCGCGUAGGCGGGCUGGUCAGUUGAGGGUGAAAUCCCGGGGCUUAACCUCGGAACUGCCUUCAAUACUGCCAGUCUUGAGUUCGAGAGAGGUGAGUGGAAUUCCUAGUGUAGAGGUGAAAUUCGUAGAUAUUAGGAAGAACACCAGUGGCGAAGGCGGCUCACUGGCUCGAUACUGACGCUGAGGUGCGAAAGCGUGGGGAGCAAACAGGAUU